GGGGUCCACUUUGUCUCGUCGCAGGAUAGCUCUAAGGGAUAAAUAUGCUGGACCGCUCGCUCGAUAUUCCCGUUCGAGGUCCGUAUACUAGCUCCCCGCAUCACAUCAUCUCUUCCUUUCGUCACCCUGGACACGACUCCGAGUUUCCAUGCAUGACGUUUCUUGUCUUCGUCCCGAACUAUGACGAUCUCCCCGAUCUUUGGAUAGGAGGUCUGUUUGCCGACCCGUUGGUUAUGGCGUUCGCGCAGGCUUCGAACAUACUCUUGGGACCAACGUUUCCACAUCGCCUCUUUACAUUUCCGUAAUAGUCUCGCACGUUUCCGCAAAUCUCUAUCUUCCAGGUAGUGGGGAUCAGCUUCAGGUAGGACACAAGGGUUAAUGUUCAGCAUUGUGGAAGGUGUAAGUACUGGUAAUUGGAUGUCAUCUUCUAGAUAGGUCAACGGACGGUUGUUGAGAGCCACUUCCACAUCCAAUACUACUUCCUCUAAUUCGUCUAAGGUCAGCGUUCCGUUACCGAUCGUUUUGUAGAACGCUCUUUUGAAGAGACCAAUGAGGCGUUCAAAUUGGCCUCCCCACCAUGGCGCACGACUAAGGUUGAACCUCCACUCGAUUGCGUUGUCAGCCAGGAAUGCGUUGAACUUCUCGUCCUUUUGUGCUUUCUUCAGCCAUUUGUCGGCAGCCUUAAAGGUCUUCGCGUUGUCGGAAUAUAUGAACUUCGGGCGACCACGUCUUGCGAUGAGCCUUUUCAGACUUGGCAUGAACUCCACAACUUCCAGUGACCGUAAGAUCUCGAGAUGCACUGCACGCGUCAAACUGCAGCCAUAAAGCACCAGGUAUGCCUUCUUCUCCGCCUUUGCUUUAGUCCGGUAGCGUAUUGGACCCGAAAAAUCUACUCCAAUGACUUGGAACGGGGUUGAACCUUGCGUUCUCGUGAUUGGCAGCUUCCCAGGUGGAGGUUUCUUAUAUGCUUGAGCUCUAAAUCGCACGCUCCCGUAACAAUCUUUCCGCACUUGCUUCACCAACCGUCGCAGUUUUGGAAUCCAAAAUCGCUGACGUACUUUUGCCAUGACCAUAGCGACACCACCGUGGAGGGUUACUAGAUGUGCUCGUUCGACUACUUUCUUGGCUAAGCUGGAACUGCGAGGCAAGUACACGGGGAAAUUUCCUUCAAUUCGACCGCGACAUUCGAGUACUCCGUUUCCGUUAAGCUGAAUGUUCAAUUGAAGUUGGAUGUCGUGGAAUUCAGGAUCUUCCUUGACUUCACAUUGCGUUCUUUUAAUCGCCCAAAGUUCACUUUCUUCGAUUUCUUCCGACGUUAACGGUCCUGUUUUCCGAUUUUCGCAGGAUACCUUACGAUUCUUUGCAAACCGGUUGAAUUGGGCACGAAUUCUCAGGGCCUUCCGGAG
Paramuricea clavata is the source of this 1406-nucleotide non-coding RNA. The record is from the annotation of a GenBank genome assembly. NCBI's taxonomy places the organism in Eukaryota, Metazoa, Cnidaria, Anthozoa, Malacalcyonacea, Plexauridae.